Molecule: ribosomal RNA, 440 nt
Filed under: uncultured bacterium
Lineage: Bacteria
Description: partial 16S ribosomal RNA
Rfam family: Bacterial small subunit ribosomal RNA
Source: RNAcentral
CCUACGGGAGGCAGCAGUAGGGAAUAUUGCUCAAUGGGGGAAACCCUGAAGCAGCAACGCCGCGUGGAGGAUGAAGGUUUUCGGAUUGUAAAGUCCUUUUGUUAGAGAAGAUAAUGACGGUAUCUAACGAAUAAGCACCGGCUAACUCCGUGCCAGCAGCCGCGGUAAUACGGAGGGUGCAAGCGUUACCCGGAAUCACUGGGCGUAAAGAGCGCGUAGGCGGGAUGGCAAGUCAGAUGUGAAAUCCUAGGGCUUAACCAUAGAACUGCAUUUGAAACUGUUAUUCUAGAGUAUGGGAGAGGUAGGUGGAAUUCUUGGUGUAGGGGUAAAAUCCGUAGAGAUCAAGAGGAAUACUCAUUGCGAAGGCGGCCUGCUAGAACAUAACUGACGCUGAUGCGCGAAAGCGUGGGGAGCAAACAGGAUUAGAUACCCGUGUAGUC